GGGGACCCGGCCGGGCCCCGCACCUGCCGCGGCGUGAGGGCGGGCGGUGGGCGCGCUGUGUCCCCCCCGCCGGGGCGGCCGUGAGGAUGGGGCAGUUUGCAAGAAAAAUUACCGAAGUCAAAAGCAAGACGAGUGGUUGUAAAGCCCUGGAAUGAAAACAGGAGACAAUAUCACCCAGCAAGUUUGGUGUUCUGACCUUGGCAUAUAUUUUUCAAGUCUUUGGAAACAAGAUGAAGUUUGUCUGCUUUCCCCCAUGCAGCUCUUUGUUUAACAUUUGUCAUCCCACAGUUUUCAUCUUUCCAAAAAUUUUUAUUUUAAAUAAGCACUAUAUCAUCAACACCCCAAAACAAGCUAGAACCUUUUUCCUUGUGCAUAACCAAAUGGGACUGCUUCCCAAAGGCAGCUGGGGGAUAUCUCUGCAAACCAUUUCGGUGCGGUUCGGGCUGCUCGGAUGUUGGGAGACUCAGCUCAGCCUGCAAAUCACUGGGCUUUGAUUCACGAGAACUUGGGCUAUUCAUCAGUCCUCUGGGUAGCAGCAUUUGAUGAACAACUGCAUGGCACCAGUGUUAUAUUGUUCUCUAGACUCCACGUGUGAGACAGUAAUAAGCCAGACUCCUGUGUAUCCAUUGAUCUAUGGCAGCUGCAGUAUAAUCAAACACCAGCAUUAUGUAUGUACAAGCUACUCUGUGAUUAUAGAUCCAUUAAUAAACUGUUUGCAAGAUAUAA
Pipra filicauda (Wire-tailed manakin) is the source of this 726-nucleotide long non-coding RNA. RefSeq lists it as uncharacterized. Lineage: Eukaryota; Metazoa; Chordata; Aves; Passeriformes; Pipridae. The transcript has 4 exons. The record is from RefSeq and is a predicted model, not a curated record.